This is a non-coding RNA of Phrynosoma platyrhinos (Desert horned lizard), 73 nucleotides long. The record is from the annotation of a GenBank genome assembly. Lineage: Eukaryota; Metazoa; Chordata; Lepidosauria; Squamata; Phrynosomatidae.
AGAUGGUGUGGCGUAGUGGUUGGAGCAUUGGACCACAACUCCGGAGACCAGGGUUUGAGUCCCUGCUCAGCUA